UAGGGAAUCUUCCACAAUGGACGCAAGUCUGAUGGAGCAACGCCGCGUGAGUGAAGAAGGUUUUCGGAUCGUAAAGCUCUGUUGUUGGUGAAGAAGGAUAGAGGCGGUAACUGGUCUUUAUUUGACGGUAAUCAACCAGAAAGUCACGGCUAACUACGUGCCAGCAGCCGCGGUAAUACGUAGGUGGCAAGCGUUGUCCGGAUUUAUUGGGCGUAAAGCGAGCGCAGGCGGAAUGAUAAGUCUGAUGUGCAAGCCCACAGCUCAACUGUGGAACUGCAUCGGAAACUGUCAUUCUUGAGUGCAGAAGAGGAGAGUGGAAUUCCAUGUGUAGCGGUGAAAUGCGUAGAUAUAUGGAAGGACGCCAGUGGAGAAGGCGGCUCUCUGGUCUGCAACUGACGCUGAGGCUCGAAAGCAUGGGUAGCGAACAGG
RNAcentral lists this ribosomal RNA (429 nucleotides) under bacterium. RNAcentral's name for it is "partial 16S ribosomal RNA". It matches the Rfam family "Bacterial small subunit ribosomal RNA", at positions 355 to 776 of the family's 1533-position model. The record is from RNAcentral.